RNAcentral lists this unclassified non-coding RNA (372 nucleotides) under uncultured Ascomycota. Its description in RNAcentral is "sequence contains ITS1". The stretch from base 1 to 104 matches the Rfam family "5.8S ribosomal RNA", at positions 50 to 154 of the family's 154-position model. The record is from RNAcentral. Lineage: Eukaryota; Fungi; Ascomycota.
GAAAUGCGAUACGUAAUACGAAUUGCAGAUUCAGUGAAUCAUCGAAUCUUUGAACGCAUAUUGCGCCCCCCGGCACUCCGGGGGGCAUGUCCGACCGAGCGCCACUGCCCGCGCUCGGGAGCCCUUUUCCCCACCUUCACCGGGGGGGUUUUGGGCUCCCGGUGUUGGGGCGCGCGCCGCCCUCGAGCGGUGCCGCCCCCAAAUGCAGAGGCGGACCCGUCCCCGUGUACCCUCCAGGCGCAGUCACAAGUUGCCGUCUCGCGAGGCGCGGAAGGGGCCGCCGGCGAACCUAGCCAAACCGUUUCGGGGAACCCCCGAACAUACAAAGCACUGGUUGGCCUCGGGUCGGACAAGAUUACCCGCUGAACUUAA